CUCGGACCGCGACCCCAGGUCAGGCGGGGCCACCCGCCGAGUUUAAGCAUAUAAAUAAGCGGAGGAGAAGAAACUUACGAGGAUUCCCCUAGUAACGGCGAGCGAACCGGGAAGCGCCCAGCUUGAGAAUCGGGCGGCCUCGCCGCCCGAAUUGUAGUCUGUAGAGGCGUCCUCAGCGGCGGACCGGGCGCAAGUCCCCUGGAAGGGGGCGCCGGAGAGGGUGAGAGCCCCGUCGCGCCCGGACCCUGGCGCAUCACGAGGCGCCGUCGGCG
Molecule: ribosomal RNA, 272 nt
Filed under: Wolffia columbiana
Lineage: Eukaryota; Viridiplantae; Streptophyta; Magnoliopsida; Alismatales; Araceae
Description: partial 26S ribosomal RNA
Rfam family: Eukaryotic large subunit ribosomal RNA
Source: RNAcentral